Molecule: ribosomal RNA, 439 nt
Filed under: uncultured bacterium
Lineage: Bacteria
Description: bacterial SSU rRNA
Rfam family: Bacterial small subunit ribosomal RNA
Source: RNAcentral
UCCUACGGGGGGCAGCAGUGGGGAAUAUUGCACAAUGGGCGAAAGCCUGAUGCAGCAACGCCGCGUGAGUGAUGAAGGCCUUCGGGUUGUAAAACUCUGUCUUUGGGGACGAUAAUGACGGUACCCAAGGAGGAAGCCACGGCUAACUACGUGCCAGCAGCCGCGGUAAUACGUAGGUGGCAAGCGUUGUCCGGAUUUACUGGGCGUAAAGAAUGCGUAGGCGGAUAUUUAAGUCAGAUGUGAAAUCCCCGAGCUUAACUUGGGGGCUGCAUUUGAAACUGGAUAUCUAGAGUGCGGGAGAGGAGAGUGGAAUUCCUAGUGUAGCGGUGAAAUGCGUAGAGAUUAGGAAGAACACCAGUGGCGAAGGCGACUCUCUGGACCGUAACUGACGCUGAGGCAUGAAAGCGUGGGGAGCAAACAGGAUUAGAUACCCGAGUAA